Molecule: transfer RNA, 88 nt
Filed under: Desulfuromonadales bacterium
Lineage: Bacteria; Pseudomonadati; Thermodesulfobacteriota; Desulfuromonadia; Desulfuromonadales
Description: tRNA-Ser
Rfam family: tRNA
About the family: Transfer RNA (tRNA) molecules are approximately 80 nucleotides in length. Their secondary structure includes four short double-helical elements and three loops (D, anti-codon, and T loops).
Source: RNAcentral
GGAGGAGUGGCCGAGUGGUUUAAGGCGGCGGUCUUGAAAACCGUUGAUGUGAGAGCAUCCGUGGGUUCGAAUCCUACCUCCUCCGCCA